This 474-nucleotide ribosomal RNA is filed under the name uncultured organism. RNAcentral's name for it is "partial 16S ribosomal RNA". It matches the Rfam family "Bacterial small subunit ribosomal RNA", at positions 330 to 796 of the family's 1533-position model. The record is from RNAcentral.
CGUACACUCCUACGGGAGGCAGCAGUGGGGAAUUUUGGACAAUGGGCGAAAGCCUGAUCCAGCCAUGCCGCGCGCAGGAUGAAGGCCUUCGGGUUGUAAACUGCUUUUGUACGGAACGAAACGGCCUUUUCUAAUAAAGAGGGCUAAUGACGGUACCGUAAGAAUAAGCACCGGCUAACUACGUGCCAGCAGCCGCGGUAAUACGUAGGGUGCAAGCGUUAAUCGGAAUUACUGGGCGUAAAGCGUGCGCAGGCGGUUAUGUAAGACAGUUGUGAAAUCCCCGGGCUCAACCUGGGAACUGCAUCUGUGACUGCAUAGCUAGAGUACGGUAGAGGGGGAUGGAAUUCCGCGUGUAGCAGUGAAAUGCGUAGAUAUGCGGAGGAACACCGAUGGCGAAGGCAAUCCCCUGGACCUGUACUGACGCUCAUGCACGAAAGCGUGGGGAGCAAACAGGAUUAGAUACCCGUGUAGUCC